RNAcentral lists this ribosomal RNA (427 nucleotides) under uncultured bacterium. Its description in RNAcentral is "partial 16S ribosomal RNA". It matches the Rfam family "Bacterial small subunit ribosomal RNA", at positions 355 to 774 of the family's 1533-position model. The record is from RNAcentral.
UGGGGAAUAUUGCACAAUGGGCGCAAGCCUGAUGCAGCCAUGCCGCGUGUAUGAAGAAGGCCUUCGGGUUGUAAAGUACUUUCAGAGGGGAGGAAGGCGAUGUGGUUAAUAACCGCGUCGAUUGACGUUACCCGCAGAAGAAGCACCGGCUAACUCCGUGCCAGCAGCCGCGGUAAUACGGAGGGUGCAAGCGUUAAUAGGAAUUACUGGGCGUAAAGCGCACGCAGGCGGUCUGUCAAGUCGGAUGUGAAAUCCCCGGGCUCAACCUGGGAACUGCAUCCGAAACUGGCAGGCUUGAGUCUCGUAGAGGGGGGUAGAAUUCCAGGUGUAGCGGUGAAAUGCGUAGAGAUCUGGAGGAAUACCGGUGGCGAAGGCGGCCCCCUGGACGAAGACUGACGCUCAGGUGCGAAAGCGUGGGGAGCAAACA